GGUGGCUCAGUGGUACAGCACUUGCCUUGUAUGCAUGAGGCCCUGAGUUCGAUUCCUCAGCACCA
This 65-nucleotide transfer RNA is filed under the name Dipodomys ordii (Ord's kangaroo rat). It matches the Rfam family "tRNA". Rfam says of the family: Transfer RNA (tRNA) molecules are approximately 80 nucleotides in length. Their secondary structure includes four short double-helical elements and three loops (D, anti-codon, and T loops). The record is from Rfam by way of RNAcentral. Lineage: Eukaryota; Metazoa; Chordata; Mammalia; Rodentia; Heteromyidae.